GCCCGAGCGGCGGGGGAGCGGGCGGCGAUGGACACGGAGGCGGCGGCCGAAGCGGAGGGGCCCUUCUGCCUGCAGCAGGUUACCAUAACAGAAGACUCUGAAGAUGAUUAUCAAUAUGAAGAGGUUCCAGCAGAUGAUGACUCUAGUCUCCUAGAAGGUGAUGAAGAUCUGGCAAAGGCUUUACAGACCAUACAGGAGCAAUCUGAGGAUGCUCAAAUUAUAGUAAGCUUCCCAAAGGUUUAUAUUUAGUAAGAAUCAAUUGGUAAUAAAAAUGAUUUUAAAUUGGCUUAAAAUGUUGAC
RNAcentral lists this long non-coding RNA (300 nucleotides) under Crocodylus porosus (Australian saltwater crocodile). RNAcentral's name for it is "lncRNA (ENSCPRG00005003301.1)". The record is from RNAcentral. Lineage: Eukaryota; Metazoa; Chordata; Crocodylia; Crocodylidae.